RNAcentral lists this long non-coding RNA (266 nucleotides) under Vigna radiata. RNAcentral describes it as "long non-coding RNA (VRAD_LNC006566)". The record is from RNAcentral. Lineage: Eukaryota; Viridiplantae; Streptophyta; Magnoliopsida; Fabales; Fabaceae.
AAAAAGAAGAGAAUGAGAGGAAAGAAAAAGAGGAGAAAGUAACAAAAGGAAAAGAAGAAAUUGUGAGAGAAAAGGAGAAGGAAAAUGUCCUAGUCACAAAGGAAGUGUUACUACAGGCACUUUCCACUCCCAUCUUUCUACAUGAUUCAAGCCAUGACAGGGGAGGUUUUUCAUCCUUCCGCUUUUCCCCAAUUCUUAAACUUUCUUCUUUUUCUAAAAACUUUUGUGAAAAUAUCCCACCUUUCUCAUCUCUUAUUACAACUUCU